This 289-nucleotide ribosomal RNA is filed under the name uncultured bacterium. RNAcentral's name for it is "partial 16S ribosomal RNA". It matches the Rfam family "Bacterial small subunit ribosomal RNA", at positions 334 to 640 of the family's 1533-position model. The record is from RNAcentral.
UGGGCCUACGGGGCGCAGCAGUGGGGAAUAUUGCACAAUGGGGGAAACCCUGAUGCAGCGACGCCGCGUGAGUGAAGAAGUAUUUCGGUAUGUAAAGCUCUAUCAGCAGGGAAGAAAAUGACGGUACCUGACUAAGAAGCCCCGGCUAACUACGUGCCAGCAGCCGCGGUAAUACGUAGGGGGCAAGCGUUAUCCGGAUUUACUGGGUGUAAGGGGAGCGUAGACGGCGCGGCAAGUCUGAAGUGAAAGGCAGGGGCUUAACCCCUGAACUGCUUUGGAAACUGCACUG